UAAGAUUUUCAAUUAAAAGAUAAAAUAACUUCUUAAUUUAUGGGGAAAAGAUGCUCUUUUUAUUCUUUGUUCUGCGUUUUCUGUCUGUAUUGUCGUUUUCUUUGUUGAAGAGAUUGCUUUUGUGUCAAGUUCAUUACUUUUAUUGAUCCAACAAUGUGUGAGAUUAUUUUUCAAUUCUUUGAACAUUGAUACAUGGAAAUUUCAUUUUUAUCAUUCUACAAUUUUUAUAGGUUGCAAAUACUCAGAUGUGGUAUAUUCAAGGUCUUACACUAUGUGAACAACAUUUGAUUUCAACAAAUAUGAUGAGUAGGCAAUACUCUUUGGUGAAUCUGUGAGAACAUGCAAAUAGAAAACAAUUUGAGUCCAAGGCAUUUGAUUUAUAUAAAUAACACUCACCAAAUAAAGGAAUGCUGGAAAAUUUUAUGAAUGAAGCUCAUGAGAAAUUGAAGAGUAUGGAGGAGGUCAGCAACUUGAGGGUCAUUUGUUUUACGGCGAAGGGUUUUAGUGUGGAUCACUUUCUGUAGAGGUGCAAAAUACAAGUUACUGUUCAGAGGCCUAUGAUUUUGUCGGAGGGUCAAGUAUAUGUGAUGAAGCACUUUUCUUAUAUUUUGAUUUUGUGAUUCUGAAUAAUUAUUUGUACAGUUGUUAAGUCACCUAUAUAAUUAUAUUACUCAUAUCACAUUUUUUUAAACCAUUAAAGUUA
Molecule: non-coding RNA, 703 nt
Organism: Arachis ipaensis
Lineage: Eukaryota; Viridiplantae; Streptophyta; Magnoliopsida; Fabales; Fabaceae
Source: RefSeq, a predicted model, not a curated record